ACAUGCAGUCGAGCGGACAGAUGGGAGCUUGCUCCCUGAUGUUAGCGGCGGACGGGUGAGUAACACGUGGGUAACCUGCCUGUAAGACUGGGAUAACUCCGGGAAACCGGGGCUAAUACCGGAUGGUUGUUUGAACCGCAUGGUUCAAACAUAAAAGGUGGCUUCGGCUACCACUUACAGAUGGACCCGCGGCGCAUUAGCUAGUUGGUGAGGUAACGGCUCACCAAGGCAACGAUGCGUAGCCGACCUGAGAGGGUGAUCGGCCACACUGGGACUGAGACACGGCCCAGACUCCUACGGGAGGCAGCAGUAGGGAAUCUUCCGCAAUGGACGAAAGUCUGACGGAGCAACGCCGCGUGAGUGAUGAAGGUUUUCGGAUCGUAAAGCUCUGUUGUUAGGGAAGAACAAGUACCGUUCGAAUAGGGCGGUACCUUGACGGUACCUAACCAGAAAGCCACGGCUAACUACGUGCCAGCAGCCGCGGUAAUACGUAGGUGGCAAGCGUUGUCCGGAAUUAUUGGGCGUAAAGGGCUCGCAGGCGGUUUCUUAAGUCUGAUGUGAAAGCCCCCGGCUCAACCGGGGAGGGUCAUUGGAAACUGGGGAACUUGAGUGCAGAAGAGGAGAGUGGAAUUCCACGUGUAGCGGUGAAAUGCGUAGAGAUGUGGAGGAACACCAGUGGCGAAGGCGACUCUCUGGUCUGUAACUGACGCUGAGGAGCGAAAGCGUGGGGAGCGAACAGGAUUAGAUACCCUGGUAGUCCACGCCGUAAACGAUGAGUGCUAAGUGUUAGGGGGUUUCCGCCCCUUAGUGCUGCAGCUAACGCAUUAAGCAC
Molecule: ribosomal RNA, 832 nt
Filed under: Bacillus sp. 80B4_12AMannit
Lineage: Bacteria; Bacillati; Bacillota; Bacilli; Caryophanales; Bacillaceae
Description: bacterial SSU rRNA
Rfam family: Bacterial small subunit ribosomal RNA
Source: RNAcentral